Molecule: ribosomal RNA, 494 nt
Filed under: uncultured bacterium
Lineage: Bacteria
Description: partial 16S ribosomal RNA
Rfam family: Bacterial small subunit ribosomal RNA
Source: RNAcentral
GACGAACGCUGGCGGCGUGCCUAAUACAUGCAAGUAGAACGCUGAAGGAGGAGCUUGCUUCUCUGGAUGAGUUGCGAACGGGUGAGUAACGCGUAGGUAACCUGCCUGGUAGCGGGGGAUAACUAUUGGAAACGAUAGCUAAUACCGCAUAAGAGUAGAUGUCGCAUGACAUUUGCUUAAAAGGUGCAAUUGCAUCACUACCAGAUGGACCUGCGUUGUAUUAGCUAGUUGGUGAGGUAACGGCUCACCAAGGCAACGAUACAUAGCCGACCUGAGAGGGGGAUCGGCCACACGGGGACUGAGACACGGCCCAGACUCCUACGGGAGGCAGCAGUAGGGAAUCUUCGGCAAUGGACGGAAGUCUGACCGAGCAACGCCGCGUGAGGGAAGAAGGUUUUCGGAUCGUAAAGCUCUGUUGUAAGGGAAGAACGGGUGUGGGAGGGGAAAGUUCACCCUGUGACGGUAUUUUACCAAAAAGGGACGGCUAACUACGU